Long non-coding RNA from Prosopis cineraria, 2005 nucleotides. RefSeq lists it as uncharacterized. NCBI's taxonomy places the organism in Eukaryota, Viridiplantae, Streptophyta, Magnoliopsida, Fabales, Fabaceae. The record is from RefSeq and is a predicted model, not a curated record. The transcript is spliced from 3 exons.
GUGUAACAGGAAGCUGAAAUCUGGGAGUGAAUAGCCAGCGGAGGAAGAUGAUUUACAGAAAGUGGUCCCUCCUUACCGGACCGGCUGCUAUUGUCGGCGGCAUCGUUGGCACAGUCGUCGCCGCUAAUCUCGUCAUCGAUAAUCCAUUCCUUAAAGGAGAGAAAAGAAGCCCUGAUGAUCAACAUGCAACGAAGUAGGAGAAACGAUGUCGAAAGGAGUUUACACUCGGGAUGUCUUCUAAUCUUUGUUUUGUGAUCUCUUUGUAUGUGUUUUUGCGAGAGUUUCACUCCUUAGUGAAUAAGUACUAGAUUCUGAACGGAGUCUGGGGUAUGAACCCUAGCCUAGAUGACUGUAUCUACUGAUGUUUUGCUUACAGAAGUUUAAGAUGACCGACUUUUCCUUUCAGAAAAAACAGAUACCAUGUGGUUUUAAGUUUUCCAUUACCUCUACAAAAUAGCAUCGUCAUUCUAUUUAUCAAAGUUCGCUUAUGGGUUAUUAUGCCUUGUCAGAUAUAGGGUAUAGACUCUUUAGUUAGAAAUGGGUGGAGCAGCAAUCCUGAUCCCAACUAUUUCUUAUUUCUAUCUUGAGAAAAGUAAAUCAUAAAAGUACAGUCAUUCUUCCAAUUGAAAAUAAUAUAAAUGACUGUAAUCGGAUAUUUGACUGCUGAAAGUUAAAAUCUUUUUCUUAUUUUUAGUUUCGAAGAAAAAUGUAUGAUGAAAAAAUUAGAAUAUUGGCGUUGUAAAAAAGUGGUGGGUUAGAAUUGUUGCGCAGGAAGACAAUCCAACUGCCUUCGAGAUGGCCUACAAUUUGUGUUUGAAAGUUGGACACUUUUGUGCAACUGUUUUGAUCCUUGAACAAUGAAAUGUUGAAGAUAAAUGAUUAAGCAAAAAUGCCAUGCUUUAUAUUAUAAUGACAACUAUUUUCUUGUGGUGCCAUUAAUAAAAUUACAAGAAUUACUGGUUGAAAUUUCAGUUUGCAAACAAGGCGAAGGAAAAUGUAUGAAUGGCCUGCUUGCUACCAAACGAAACCUUUCUUGUAUUUCCUCCGAUGAACACAAACCCCACUGGUCAUAUUUUGCCAUAAAAUACAUUGCAGCAGGUAGCGUCACUUGCAGAUUAUCAAAGCUGUGCUUCCUACCAGCUUCAGCCAUCCAAACACACUGUUGAGCUUCAAAAUUAUCCGUCAUUGACAAGCAUUUCCAUUAACAGUUCGUUCCAUGAGUCGAUCGGUCCCGGCGAGCACCAAUGCAAACAAUCAUUCUGAACUUCAGCAUUCCCAUCCCUUGCAAAUGGUUGGUACUGCCGGUACGGUCCUGGGUGUCCAUCUGGCCUUAAGAGUGAGAGGAAAGUUGUGUCCAGAAGUUUCAAAGUUGCACCAUGGUUGAGUCCCUGGGAUGCAGUAUUCUGAAAUUCCUCAAGCUCAAUAUCACGCAUGGUGGAAUCUGCAUCGCUGGGAUCAAUCUGAUUUUGCUUGAAGGGAACUGUUCUAUUGCAGUACCCUCCACUAAACCAUUCUCCAUUCUCAAAGUGGUCUGGUGUGGUGGUUCUGAAGAAAACCAUAGCACUGUGGGAAGAGUUUUUGAUGAAGUCAAAAACCAGUCUUAGUGCUUUCCGUCUUCAGAAACCAUUUGCCUCCGGCGAUUACAACAUAAUCAAAAUCCUCGUACUUGCUGGUCCAUUUGUUGUCAAGGUGAUCAAGAUAAAGCUGUAUUUCUGAGGAGGAGACUCCAUUUAUGUCCUCAAAUAUGGCUGAUUUUAUAAGGAAAGGGGUCCAUAUUAAUGAGAGUGUGAAGUUGUGAGUGGGGAACUUCCAUAUCUUGGAUCUGUAUUCCUCAUCGUGGUAGAUCUCAAGAGCUGGCUCCACCUGCAGAAUAUAGCGAAUGAAAUUUGGCCAUUUUCUCAAUUUGUAGGACCAUAUUAGCAGCAAACAGAAGACUAUGCACAGGGCUGCAAAUAGGGAGGCUAGGUUUGUAUGUGGGGAUAAAUGUAAUGACUAUCAUAAUGGA